This 446-nucleotide ribosomal RNA is filed under the name uncultured bacterium. RNAcentral's name for it is "SSU rRNA". It matches the Rfam family "Bacterial small subunit ribosomal RNA", at positions 26 to 518 of the family's 1533-position model. The record is from RNAcentral.
AGAGCGAACGCUGGCGGCAGGCUUAACACAUGCAAGUCGAGCGGGCGUAGCAAUACGUCAGCGGCAGACGGGUGAGUAACGCGUGGGAACGUACCUUUUGGUUCGGAACAACACAGGGAAACUUGUGCUAAUACCGGAUAAGCCCUUACGGGGAAAGAUUUAUCGCCAAAAGAUCGGCCCGCGUCUGAUUAGCUAGUUGGUGAGGUGACGGCUCACCAAGGCGACGAUCAGUAGCUGGUCUGAGAGGAUGAUCAGCCACAUUGGGACUGAGACACGGCCCAAACUCCUACGGGAGGCAGCAGUGGGGAAUAUUGGACAAUGGGCGCAAGCCUGAUCCAGCCAUGCCGCGUGAGUGAUGAAGGCCCUAGGGUUGUAAAGCUCUUUGUGCGGGAAGAUAAUGACGGUACCGCAAGAAUAAGCCCGGCUAACUUCGCGCCAGCAGCCGC